UUUUUUAAUUCACCAUUUUACAUGCAUAUUGCUUUUUUCAUGUAUGUGUGACCCACAUACAUAAUUAUUUUAUCUAUGAUAAAAUAAUCUAUCCAUCUAUGAUGGACCUGCUGAUAGUUAACUCGGAAGGUCUUGUGGGGGAUGUAAACGUUGGAGGCCGUCUUGGACAAAGUGAUCAUGAAAUGAUAAAAUUUUCAAUUCUCACUGAAGCAAGGCGGGGGGCCAGCAGGACUGCCACCCUGGACUUCCGAAGGGCAGACUUUGGCCUCUUCAGGAGCAUGAUUGGGGGUGUCCCUUGGGAGAUGGUCCUCGAGGGCAAGGGUGCCCAGGAAAGCUGGUCAUUCUUCAAGGAGGCACUCUUAAAGGCGCAAGAUAAAGCUAUUCCCAAGUCCCUAAAAUCAAGCAGGAAGGGAAGAAGACCAGCCUGGCUAAAUAGAGAGCUUCGGCUGGAACUCAGGAACAAAAAGAAGGCUUAUAAUCUUUGGAAAAAGGGCCUGGCAGAUAAGGAGAAAUACCAUGAAGCGGUGAGGAUAUGCAGGGGGAAAAUUAGAAGGGCCAAGGCUCAAGUGGAGCUCAGCUUGGCCACCAAUAUUAACAAUAACAAAAAGGGGUUUUUUCAGUAUGUUAACAGCAAGAGAAAGGUGAGGGAUAAUGUGGGCCCACUGAUGGAUGAGGUGGGCACCCUAGUAGUGGAAGACACGGAGAAAGCAGAGUUGCUGAAUGCCUUCUUUUCUUCAGUCUUCACUGUUAGGACUACCCCUCAUGAAUCUGUGGCCUUAGAGGCAAGGGGGAUGGUAUGGAGAGAGGAAAUUUUUCCUCUAGUAGAGGAGGGCCAGGUUCGGGACCACUUGGCCAAACUGGACAUUCAUAAGUCCAUGGGGCCUGAUGGGUUGCACCCACGAGUGCUGAGGGAGCUGGCAGACGUUAUCGCUGGACCACUCUCGAUCAUCUUUGAGAAGUCGUGGAGAACAGGAGAGGUGCCUGAGGACUGGAGGAAGGCCAACAUCACUCCAGUCUUCAAAAAGGGCAAGAAGGAGGACCCUGGGAACUACAGACCAGUUAGUCUCACCUCUGUCCCUGGGAAGGUGAUGGAGAGACUCAUACUAGAUGUCAUCUCCAAACAAGUUGAAGAGUGGGGGGUUAUUGGAAGUGGGCAACACGGGUUUACCAAGGGUAAAUCAUGUAUGACCAAUCUGAUAGCCUUCUAUGAUGCCAUAACCGGUUGGUUGGAUGAG
RNAcentral lists this long non-coding RNA (1235 nucleotides) under Calidris pugnax (ruff). RNAcentral's name for it is "lncRNA (ENSCPUG00000015738.1)". The record is from RNAcentral. Lineage: Eukaryota; Metazoa; Chordata; Aves; Charadriiformes; Scolopacidae.